GAGUUUGAUCCUGGCUCAGGACGAACGCUGGCGGCGUGCUUAACACAUGCAAGUCGAGCGGAGAUUUAUGAUUAGCUUGCUAAAUAUAAAUCUUAGCGGCGGACGGGUGAGUAACACGUGGGCAACCUGCCCUAUACAGGGGAAUAGCCAACCGAAAGGUUGAUUAAUACCGCAUAACCCAAGUUUAUGGCAUCAUAGACUUGGCAAAGGAGAAAUCCGGUAUAGGAUGGGCCCGCGACCCAUUAGUUAGUUGGUGAGGUAACGGCUCACCAAGACCACGAUGGGUAGCCGAUCUGAGAGGAUGAACGGCCACAUUGGAACUGAGACACGGUCCAGACUCCUACGGGAGGCAGCAGUGGGGAAUAUUGCGCAAUGGGGGAAACCCUGACGCAGCAACGCCGCGUGAAGGAUGAAGGCCUUCGGGUCGUAAACUUCUGUCUUUAGGGACGAUAAUGACGGUACCUAAGGAGGAAGCCACGGCUAACUACGUGCCAGCAGCCGCGGUAAUACGUAGGUGGCGAGCGUUGUCCGGAAUUACUGGGCGUAAAGGGUGCGUAGGCGGCUAUUUAAGUCAGAUGUGAAAUUCCGGGGCUCAACCUCGGAAUUGCAUUUGAAACUGGGUAGCUAGAGUGCAGGAGAGGAAAGCGGAAUUCCUAGUGUAGCGGUGAAAUGCGUAGAUAUUAGGAAGAACACCAGUGGCGAAGGCGGCUUUCUGGACUGUAACUGACGCUGAGGCACGAAAGCGUGGGGAGCAAACAGGAUUAGAUACCCUGGUAGUCCACGCUGUAAACGAUGAGUGCUAGGUGUAAGGGGGUAUCGACUCCCUCUGUGCCGCAGUAAACGCAAUAAGCACUCCGC
This 858-nucleotide ribosomal RNA is filed under the name bacterium enrichment culture clone CH446. RNAcentral describes it as "bacterial SSU rRNA". It matches the Rfam family "Bacterial small subunit ribosomal RNA", at positions 9 to 872 of the family's 1533-position model. The record is from RNAcentral.